Molecule: long non-coding RNA, 1343 nt
Filed under: Equus caballus (horse)
Lineage: Eukaryota; Metazoa; Chordata; Mammalia; Perissodactyla; Equidae
Description: lncRNA (ENSECAG00000050776.1)
Source: RNAcentral
AAAUCUGGGAGAGAACUGGCCUCUGUAACCGCAAAGGGGCAGGUGACCCUGACUCCUUGACUUCUGGCACUCCCAGCUCCAGCUCUGUGGCCUGGGGUUCUGAUGGUUCCUUCCCACACCCCUGCUCUCCCAACCUAGAGUCCUGAAGCAGGAGGGGCUGGGCCAGCCCCGGGCCCCGAGGCUGCCUUUGGCUCCAGACCUAGAGAACCAGGCUCAGAGCUAUGCUGGGAAAGCCUGGCUGCUGAGUGCGGGUGCACCUGGGCCCGACAGGCUGGCCACUGUCCUACAGCAGGUGGCACGUAGGCAGAUCCGCCCAGGGGGCCCCAGAGGGUGUGCAUGCCUCAAGCAGCCCUCUAAAGGUCCCCGCCAAGUCUGUCCCAGGGGUGGCUUCUGCCCUAGGAAGGCCAGCAGUUUACUGAACUCCACCCAGGAGCUGGUUUGUAAAGCGAGAAGGGAGGCUGGGCUGCUGGCUGCCCUGCCUGAUCCAGACACAACACUGAUCCAAAAAGCACACGGAAGGCUGUUCAGCAGAGAUGAGCAGAUGAUGAAGAAGAUUCAGAGAGGUCAAACUACUUGCCUAUGGACACUGACUGGGCUCUCUGCCUGGUGAACUCCGACUCCGCAGCGUGUGCACAGCCUCGGCUGGAGCCGCAGGGAGCAGGUGUUGGAGCAUCGCAGGUGUUGGAGCAUCACAGGUGUGGACAGCAAGGUCAGCAGAACUUCAAUGUCAGCGUGUGAGACCCCUGCUAUUGGUGUCAGACAAAGUGCUUUGCAAAGCCCGGAGAUCCACACCAGGCUCCGGCAGACCCUGUGUCAGUCCUGCGCAAGGCUUCACCCCCUGGUACCGCCUGAGGGGGAGGCAGGGACUCGGCCUGAGAGGGCUGCGGGAUGCGGGCUUUGGGGAUGCUCCCCAAGUGCCUUGGGCCUGGCCAGGUCGGGACGUCCCUGGGGAUGAGAGAUAGCCCCCGCGGGCUCCUGGGCCCCACCUGAGAAGGUGUGCAAGGGAGAAGCAGGAGCCCAGAGUCCCCAAGCUCCCAGGGGCCUGCUGCCUGAGCCGGCUGCCAGACAGCUCUGUGGCACCACCAGGCUCAGGAACUUAUUCAGGAAACAAGGACUUCCGGAGAGCCUGCUUCAAGUCAGGCCCUGGGCUGGGCUCUGAGGACUCGGUGAGGAACAGCAGACGCAGCCCCUGCCUUCACAGAGCUGGCACUCCAGCGGGAGGGACAGACACAGCCUGUCAAAUAGAGACGGAAGGAUUUGGCAGCAGCUAUGCAGGAAAGCACUCCUUCUGCUAUGGCCCCUUCUGGCCGCAGCACGGGCUGCCUUCAGCCUGAGACGCAGGG